This 497-nucleotide ribosomal RNA is filed under the name uncultured bacterium. RNAcentral describes it as "partial 16S ribosomal RNA". It matches the Rfam family "Bacterial small subunit ribosomal RNA", at positions 28 to 507 of the family's 1533-position model. The record is from RNAcentral.
GAUGAACGCUGGCGGCGUGCCUAAUACAUGCAAGUCGAGCGAACAGACGAGGAGCUUGCUCCUCUGACGUUAGCGGCGGACGGGUGAGUAACACGUGGAUAACCUACCUAUAAGACUGGGAUAACUUCGGGAAACCGGAGCUAAUACCGGAUAACAUGUUGAACCGCAUGGUUCAACAGUGAAAGACGGUCUUGCUGUCACUUAUAGAUGGAUCCGCGCCGCAUUAGCUAGUUGGUAAGGUAACGGCUUACCAAGGCAACGAUACGUAGCCGACCUGAGAGGGUGAUCGGCCACACUGGAACUGAGACACGGUCCAGACUCCUACGGGAGGCAGCAGUAGGGAAUCUUCCGCAAUGGGCGAAAGCCUGACGGAGCAACGCCGCGUGAGUGAUGAAGGUCUUCGGAUCGUAAAACUCUGUUAUUAGGGAAGAACAAAUGUGUAAGUAACUAUGCACGUCUUGACGGUACCUAAUCAGAAAGCCACGGCUAACUACGUG